Molecule: ribosomal RNA, 265 nt
Filed under: uncultured archaeon
Lineage: Archaea
Description: partial 16S ribosomal RNA
Rfam family: Archaeal small subunit ribosomal RNA
Source: RNAcentral
AGUCACUGACAUUAGAUACCCGUGUAGUCCAGGGUGUAAACGCUGCAGACUUGGUGUUGGAGGCCCUUUGGGGGCAUUCAGUGCCGGAGAGAAGUUGUUAAGUCUGCUACUUGGGGAGUACGUCCGCAAGGAUGAAACUUAAAGGAAUUGGCGGGGGAGCACCACAACGGGUGGAGCUUGCGGUUUAAUUGGAUUCAACGCCGGAAAUCUUACCGGGACCGACAGCAACAUGAAGGCCAGGCUGAAGACUUUGCCGGAUUAGCUG